RNAcentral lists this transfer RNA (82 nucleotides) under Beta vulgaris subsp. vulgaris (sugar beet). It matches the Rfam family "tRNA". Rfam says of the family: Transfer RNA (tRNA) molecules are approximately 80 nucleotides in length. Their secondary structure includes four short double-helical elements and three loops (D, anti-codon, and T loops). Lineage: Eukaryota; Viridiplantae; Streptophyta; Magnoliopsida; Caryophyllales; Amaranthaceae. The record is from Rfam by way of RNAcentral. RNAcentral also lists the same sequence under 1 other name.
GGGGAUGUGGCGGAAUUGGCAGACGCGCUGGAUUUAGGUUCCAGUGGGGCAACCCGUGCAGGUUCAACUCCUGUCAUCCCUA